RNAcentral lists this unclassified non-coding RNA (237 nucleotides) under plant metagenome. RNAcentral describes it as "partial contains small subunit ribosomal RNA, internal transcribed spacer 1, and 5.8S ribosomal RNA". The record is from RNAcentral.
UCUCCGUUGGUGAACCAGCGGAGGGAUCACUACCGAGUUUACAACUCCCAAACCCCAUGUGAACCUCACCAAACGUUGCUUCGGCGGGAUGCCCCGGGCGCGGGCCGCAAGGCCUCAGCCCCGGAACCAGGCGCCCGCCGGAGGCCCAAACCAAACUCUUGUUUUUGUAGAAUCUUCUGAGUGGCCUUUUAGGCAAAAAAUGAAUCAAAACUUUCAACAACGGAUCUCUUGGUUCUG